AUUUCCUGUAUAGUACAGAAGCAUCACACAGCACAGUAACUUUGCCUGUGCUUCUUGAGUGUAGGGUGUGAAAUUAAGAUCUAGAUUUGAGACAGAACAUACAACAUUUCACUCAGAGGGAGGGCUACCAAUAUGCUGAUUGCCAGGCUGCUGAGGACAGUCAUAACCUCCAUCUGUCUUGGAUCCAGCAUGGCCCAGAAGGUGACUCAAGCUCAGACUGAAAUUUCUGUGGUGGAGAAGGAGGACGUGACCUUGGAUUGUGUGUAUGAAACCCGUGGAAAUACUUAUUACUUAUUCUGGUACAAACAACCACCAAGUGGAGAAAUGAUUUUUCUUAUUCGUCAGGACUCUUAUAAUGAGCAAGAUGAAACAAAGGGUCGGUAUUCUCUGAACUUCCAGAAAUCUACCAGUUCCAUCAACCUCACCAUCACAGCCUCACAGCUCAUGGACUCAGCGGUGUACUUCUGUGCUCUGAGUAAGGCCACAGUGAGAUAG
Molecule: non-coding RNA, 495 nt
Organism: Carlito syrichta (Philippine tarsier)
Lineage: Eukaryota; Metazoa; Chordata; Mammalia; Primates; Tarsiidae
Source: the annotation of a RefSeq genome assembly